Molecule: RNA transcript, 4596 nt
Organism: Planococcus citri (citrus mealybug)
Lineage: Eukaryota; Metazoa; Arthropoda; Insecta; Hemiptera; Pseudococcidae
Exons: 13
Source: RefSeq, a predicted model, not a curated record
GCAGAUCAUUAUACGGAAUCUCGAAGCGUGCGCCGCAUUUAACUUUAUUUGUGUGAGCUUUAUUUCUGCCCGAAUUACUUCGUACCCUUUUGUCGCGAUGGUGAUACGAGUACCUCUACCUACCAUGUUGAAGAUCUUCAAGAUCCAGAAAGGAAAAUUUUGUGGGUUCGAAUGUUCCUUGAGAACUGGCGCGAUGAUCGUUUUGACUACCGAUUUGGUUGUUUGUGAAUAUCUUCAAAGCUCGAAAAAUUCAAUUUUUAAUGUCGUGUUCUUAAUUGCUGGGUGGAGUUCUUUAGUCGCUGCUCUCUGUGGCGCAAUGAAGAAUCAAUCCCUAUUGCUCAUACCUUACGUAGCCGUGAAGCUGUUUUAUAUUAUGGUGUUCCUAUUAUUAACAAUAAUAUCAGCUCAAUCAGUCGCUGUGACAGGGCUAGUACUGUUCCUUGGUGCAUUUGCAAUCAUUGCUGAGAGUAUUUCAAUCGUUGGUCUUUAUGGUGUAAUGAAGGAGAAACCCGCAUUGCAGAAACCUUACGUUGUGGUGCAGAUGCUGUACUUGCUAUAUCUUAUAGUCGCUUUUUUUGUGAUGCCAAUUCUCUUCUAUACAGUUGACGACUUGAUGGGAGUUCGCCGAACAUUGGGCAAUGCCUUCGGUCUUGUCCUAAUACUGAUUGAAAGUAUACUCGGCAUCCUUGUUGGCGUCUUUUACAUCAAAUUCAUUGUCGUGCUGAGCUACUAUUACAAGGAAUGACAAUCAAAAUAUCGGAUAAUGGACACUGAAUACGCGACUUCUAAUUGAAAUCCAACCUAUAUCUCCAGUAACAACUGUACAAAAAUAUUCAUGCUAAGAUUAAAUUAUUUCUUAGUGUCAGUUGAAAAAUUCUGUCAAUAUUUCAAAUCAAUUAUUGAACGUUUUGAAAAAAUACAACACAAUCAUUACUUGAUCCUAACUUAUUAUUCAUCUGCAAGAAUCGAUUUAAGUAAGGUACCAAACUAAAUAUAAACUUAUACUCAUAAAAUGAUAAAAAUAAUCCUUGCAGGUAAAUCACUUUUAAGUAUCAUCAAGUUGUACAUGUAUAAGGAUAAACAGACAGAGGCUCACUCAUUAGCUCAUAUCCCACGCGAAAAAAUACCAAUGGUCUUUCUAUUUUUUUGGGUACCACUCAUGACGAUUGGUAUUUUCGACCAUCUGAACAAAUUCUCCCAAAAAAUGUAUGCGUCAAUUUUUUUCCUUUUAAAACCGCUAUUUGCCCGCUCUAUAAUAUGUAUUUUUUUUUUUUUUUCGUUUCCCAUUAUAGGUAUUCCGUUCCGUUGAACCGAGCAGCGAUUAAUGAAAAUUUCCCAGCAUUCAAAAGUAAAUGAUAAUACAAAUUCUCAAAAAAAAAAAAAAAAAACUUUUACUUAAUGUUAGGUUUGCCAAAAAUAACAAAACAGUCAUCUUAUCAACUGCGGCUUUAGUCAUUCGUUUAGAGUAGGGGAAUUACGUAAAUGUGAUUACUGAUUACAGCAUCAGCACAAUACGUCGCGUCGUAUAAGAGCUUUUGCAAAUUGUAGAAGAUCAUUAAUGGAAUCUCGAAACGUGCACCGCGUUACGUUAACUUCAUUUGCGCGAGCUUUAUUUCUGUCCGAAUAAUUUCGUAAUUCUUGUCGUGAUAACUAGAGACCGACCAGUUGAAGAUGUUCAGGGUUGAGGAAGUUAAAAUUCGUGAUCUCGACUUGUCCAUGAGACCUAGCGUCCUUAUGGUUGCCGAUAUAAUGUUUGGUGGAUACUUUGAAUAUCUCGAAUAUCGUAGAUAUAAUCAAAGCGUGCAUGAAGGCAUGUUCCUAAUUGCUGGAUGGAGUUUUUUAAUAGCUGCUCUCUAUGGUAUAAAGAAGAAUCAACCCCACAUGCUGAAACCUUGCGUAGCAGUGAACCUGCUUUAUAUAGUGGGUUCUACAAUAAAAAUGUUACCAGUAUUAUCAAAUCAGUCAGAUCAAUCAGUCUUUUGGGUGGGCCCAUUCCUGGUUAAUUCGGCAUUUCCAUUCAUUAAGGCGAGUGCUACAGUCGUUGGUCUUUAUGGCGCAAUGAAGGAGAAACUCGCAUUGCAGAUACCUUACUUAGUGGUGGGAGUGCCGAGUUUGGUAGUUACUAUACUCAGUACUAUGAUGCAAAUUUUAAACGAUGAUGUUAACAUAGUACUAUUAAACCGCAUUGUAUUAACAGUCGCAUUAGUCGUGAUGCUCGUUUUUGCCGCCGGCAUCGGUUACUUCAAGUUCAUUGUCACGCUGAAGUAUUUCAAGGAAUGCAAAUUAAAAUACCUAUCGGAUUUUGGAAGAUGAAUUCACGACUUCGACUUGAACUCCAUCCUAGAUCUUCAAUAUGUUUUAAUACCUUCUUCAAGUUACUUGUAUUGAAUUAUUUGCAUUUUGAUUAUAGUACCUACAUCCAUUUAUACAUACCUACAAUUGAAAAAAAUAAGAUUUCGUCAAAGAAAUGUACUUAUACGACUGUACAAAAAUAUUUAUUUUUAGAUUUUGUGUAAAGUACAAUAAUGUGAAAAAAUUAAUUUGAAGUGCAUAGAUAAUUUAUUUUUUAUACUGUUGUAUGUAAUAAACAUCGAAGAUGUUAAAAAUUCCAAAGGUGGAAAGUUGUUGCGGCUUGAGAACUCACGCCUUGACAAUGUUAACAAUGUUUCAUGCAUUUAUUUUUUCAUUUUUUUCCAGAUUUCACUAAAAUUUCAUUAAAUUUCAAUGCUUUUUAAAAAAUAUGUAACAUUUUUGUACUUAUUUUCACCUUUUUUUUUUUUUUUUGCCAAACUUCAGUAUAAAAUUACACUAGUUUUUGGUGAGUUACCAUCUACGGUGAUUUUAAUGCUUCCAGUUGUGUGUAAAAGCCCGAGGGAUGCGAGGCAGAAGCUUUUGAUAAUUCAUAUUUACUGAGAAGUAAAGUAUCAUAUUAUUUACGAUGUGUGGAGCCAAUUUUUCUACUCUCUUAAUUAGAUCAGAAGAACGGAAAUCAAUUUGACAAUUUUAAUUUUGUGGAUUGGUAGGAAGUGGUUUGAACCACUUUUUAAAAAGUGAAGUCAGAAACACAAAUAUCGAAUAAAAAACUUAUUUGAAUUUUUUUCAUUGAUUGUAUGUUAUGGGAAUUUAUCGAGUUGUUUUUUACAUCUGUGAAAUGUUUUUAAAAAAUUCGCAGUAGAAUCCACAUCUGUGCGAGCGAAGCGAGGACCAAGGCGUAGAAAAAAUUGACAAUUUGAAACACUCGUAUAAACGCGACCAUAAUCAUUGUUUAGAGUGGGGGAAUUACGUCGUACGAUACAAUGUGAUUACUUGGAGCAAAUUUCACUCUAUAAGUACCUAACAGCAUCUGCACAUUAAGUAGUUAUUAUGUAUAACAGCUAUUGCAAAUUGUAAGAUAGCAGAUCAUUAUUAUUAUGAAAUGAUAUCGAAACGUGCACCGUGUUUUACGUUACUUUAUUUUGUAUUCGAGUUCAAUUUCUUUCCGAAUUAUUUUUAAUUGAAGAUGUUGAGGAUUCAGAAAGUAAAAUUUUGCGGUUUCGAGUGUUCUUUGAGAACUGGCACGUUGAUCGUUUUGACUAUUGAUUUGGUUUUCAGAGAACGUCGUGAUUAUCUUGAAUAUCUUAAAAACCAGUUUCAACAUCGUUAUGAAUAUCAUCAAAACUCGUAUAGUUCAAUUUCUGGAAUCGUCUUCUUAAUUGCUGGAUGCUCUUUAAUCGCUGCUUUCUGCGGUGCACUGAAGAAUCAAUCCUUAUUGCUGAUACCUUACGUAGUCGUGAAGCUGUAUUAUGAAGUAUGUUGGAAAAUCCUAAUGCUACCGACAUAUUCAAAAAUAUUAGAUGAAUCAGUCUCUUGUGCGAACCUAUUCCUGUUUAUUCAGGCUUUUUCAUUCAUUGAGUGGAGUGUUACAGUCCUUGGUCUUUAUGGUAUAACGAAGAAGAAACCCGCAUUGCAGAUACCUUACUUAGUGGUGGAGAUGCUGAAUUCGAUAUUUUGUAUACUCGCAAUUUUUGUUAUACCAAUUGUCCUGUAUACAAGUGAAGAUUUUAUACUACUUCUCCAAUUACAUGAGCGCAUCUCAGGUCCCGUCUUGAUAGAGAAUGAUAUUGUAAACGGCAUUCUCUUCGGCAUCUUUUACGUCAAAUUCAUCAUCGCGCUGAGCUAUUACAAGGAAUGCCGAUUAAAAUAUCGGGUUGUGGACACUGAAUUAUCGACUAUAAAUUGAACUUCAACCUAGAUCUUCGGUACGUGUUGUUUAUAUCUACAUCAAGUUACUUACUCGUAUACAUUGCAUUUUGAUAAUUUGUACCUACCUACCUAACUACAUUAAUUUAUACGAUUGAAAAAAAUCAUAUUUCGUCUAAUAAAUGUACCUAUAGGUACCUACUUGUGAAUUUUUUUGCCAAACUCUAAAAUUUCACCAGUUCUUGUGUUUAUAAGAGGUUUAAAAUUUUCAACAAUGUUUCAGAUGCUAUAACUUAAAUUUUGAAGUAAUUUUAACCAUAGUCUGUCUGUAGAUAUUAGGUUAGUUUAGUUGAAUUUAUAACAACUUGAAAAAUUCUGUCAAUAUUUUAUGUAAAUAAGUAUUGUUGAAUGUUCUGA